RNAcentral lists this ribosomal RNA (252 nucleotides) under uncultured bacterium. Its description in RNAcentral is "partial 16S ribosomal RNA". It matches the Rfam family "Bacterial small subunit ribosomal RNA", at positions 524 to 776 of the family's 1533-position model. The record is from RNAcentral.
UACGUAGGGGGCGAGCGUUAUCCGGAAUUACUGGGCGUAAAGGGUACGCAGGCGGCCAAAUAAGUCAGGUGUGAAAGGUAUCGGCUCAACCGGUGCAAGCACUUGAAACUGUAUGGCUUGAGUACAGGAGAGGAAAGUGGAAUUCCUAGUGUAGCGGUGAAAUGCGUAGAUAUUAGGAGGAACACCAGUGGCGAAGGCGACUUUCUGGACUGAUACUGACGCUGAGGUACGAAAGCGUGGGGAGCAAACAGG